UAACACGUGGAUAAUCUGCCCUGCACAGGGGGACAACAGCUAGAAAUGGCUGCUAAUACCGCAUAAGCCUACAGCCUCGCAUGAGGGAGUAGGAAAAGAAAUUCGGUGCAGGAUGAGUCCGCGUCUGAUUAGCUAGUUGGAGGGGUAAAAGCCCACCAAGGCAACGAUCAGUAGCCGGCCUGAGAGGGCGACCGGCCACAUUGGGACUGAGACACGGCCCAAACUCCUACGGGAGGCAGCAG
RNAcentral lists this ribosomal RNA (242 nucleotides) under uncultured bacterium. RNAcentral describes it as "partial 16S ribosomal RNA". It matches the Rfam family "Bacterial small subunit ribosomal RNA", at positions 111 to 354 of the family's 1533-position model. The record is from RNAcentral.